UGCAAAGGUUGAUUCCAGAUUUUUGAAAAUUUGAUCUCCUAUUCUACUGCUAUCCAGAUAAGAAUUUGAUCCUUAUUCAUGUAGAUUAAUAGAAAUUUUUUAAAUACAAUCUGGGCUAUCUGAAGAGAAAUAGUUUUCUUUCCUUUCAUGUCAGAGGUAUGUGGCAUUCACAUCCUCUUUCUUUCUUUUCUUCAUAUUAUCAAUAUGAAGUAUAUUAUCAUUAAGUGAUAGAAACAGA
This 238-nucleotide long non-coding RNA is filed under the name Elaeis guineensis (African oil palm). RNAcentral's name for it is "long non-coding RNA (EGUI_LNC034149)". The record is from RNAcentral. Lineage: Eukaryota; Viridiplantae; Streptophyta; Magnoliopsida; Arecales; Arecaceae.